GAGUUUGAUCAUGGCUCAGAACGAACGCUGGCGGCAGGCCUAACACAUGCAAGUCGAGCGCGCCCUUCGGGGUGAGCGGCGGACGGGUUAGUAACGCGUGGGAAUAUACCCGACACUAAGGAAUAGCCUCUGGAAACGGAGAGUAAUACCUUAUACGCCCUUCGGGGGAAAGAUUCAUCGGUGACGGAUUAGCCCGCGUUAGAUUAGAUAGUUGGUGGGGUAAUGGCCUACCAAGUCUACGAUCUAUAGCUGGUUUUAGAGGAUGAUCAGCAACACUGGGACUGAGACACGGCCCAGACUCCUACGGGAGGCAGCAGUGGGGAAUCUUGGACAAUGGGCGCAAGCCUGAUCCAGCCAUGCCGCGUGAGUGAUGAAGGCCUUAGGGUCGUAAAGCUCUUUCGCCAGAGAUGAUAAUGACAGUAUCUGGUAAAGAAACCCCGGCUAACUCCGUGCCAGCAGCCGCGGUAAUACGGAGGGGGUUAGCGUUGUUCGGAAUUACUGGGCGUAAAGCGCGCGUAGGCGGAUUAGUAAGUUAGAGGUGAAAUCCCGGGGCUCAACCCCGGAACUGCCUUUAAUACUGCUAGUCUUGAGUUCGAGAGAGGUGAGUGGAAUUCCGAGUGUAGAGGUGAAAUUCGUAGAUAUUCGGAGGAAC
RNAcentral lists this ribosomal RNA (652 nucleotides) under uncultured Alphaproteobacteria bacterium. Its description in RNAcentral is "bacterial SSU rRNA". It matches the Rfam family "Bacterial small subunit ribosomal RNA", at positions 9 to 707 of the family's 1533-position model. Lineage: Bacteria; Pseudomonadati; Pseudomonadota; Alphaproteobacteria. The record is from RNAcentral.